GGAUAUGGGGAUGAACUGGAUUCGGUAUCUGUCACCUCAUUUAGCCCCAGGGUCAAUCUAGCUGAUCUGNCUGGCUAGGCAUGUGUCCCCUUCUUUCCUCACCACUCUAGGUAUAUUCCUUCUGAAGCUGUGUGCUUGAUUGAAAAGGAUGGCCUUCUCCAAUAAGGAUGGCUGAUCUUAGGUCAAGGGCAUACAAGUGGAUACGCUCUUUUGCUAGAACCUCUGAAUAAGCUCCCACAAUCCUUGAGGUAGCUGUUGAAGUGCUUGGUGAACAUCUCUGACACAACUCCCAGUGAACACACACAGAAGUUUCUCCCAGG
Molecule: small nuclear RNA, 320 nt
Filed under: Neotoma lepida (desert woodrat)
Lineage: Eukaryota; Metazoa; Chordata; Mammalia; Rodentia; Cricetidae
Description: 7SK RNA
Rfam family: 7SK RNA
About the family: 7SK was discovered as an abundant small nuclear RNA in the mid-70s but a possible function has only recently been suggested. Two independent studies have found that 7SK RNA binds the CDK9/cyclin T complex (known as elongation factor P-TEFb).
Source: Rfam by way of RNAcentral